RNAcentral lists this long non-coding RNA (333 nucleotides) under Homo sapiens (human). RNAcentral describes it as "MAD2L1 divergent transcript". The record is from RNAcentral. Lineage: Eukaryota; Metazoa; Chordata; Mammalia; Primates; Hominidae.
UUGGUGGACCUGGUCGCGCUGUGCCGGGUGUGACACUACGGAGAGCAGAUUACAUUAUCAAAAGCACCAAGUUGAAACAUUUGCAAGGUGUGCAUCAUUUCACAAUUAUUGGCAAUGGUUCAAUGGUUUCAUCUGCUUUGAACGGUUUCUUCUCUAUCAUUAAGAGACCUGUUAUGAAUAUGUAGCUGGAGACACUUUCCCAAAUGUAAACAAGGUUUGAAUACUUUUCCUAAAGUCUGCUGUUGUAAACAUUGUCUAUGUUUAAUAACAUUAAAAUAUUAUGAUAUAAACAUUGUACAUGUUUAAUAAUAUUAAAAUAUGAUAUAAACAUUG